GUACACGCUGUGACUAGCAUAUCAAUAAGCGGAGGAAAAGAAACUAACAAGGAUUCCCCUAGUAACGGCGAGUGAAGCGGGAAGAGCUCAAAUUUGAAAUCUUAAAGGGUUUCCCUUUACGAAUUGUAGUUUAAAGAAGUGUUUUCUGUUGAGGUUUUGGUAAAAGUUCUUUGGAAUAGGACAUCAUAGAGGGUGAGAAUCCCGUAUUUGACCUUUACUUUCAACUUUGUGAUACACUUUCAAAGAGUCGGAUUGUUUGGGAAUGCAGUCCAAAAUGGGUGGUAAAUUUCAUCUAAAGCUAAAUAUUGGCGAGAGACCGAUAGCGAACAAGUACCGUGAGGGAAAGAUGAAAAGAACUUUGAAAAGAGAGUUAAACAGUACGUGAAAUUGUCAAAAGGGAAGCGUUUGACACCAGUGUUGUUUUUCUGAAAAUCAAUUAAAGAACUGUUUAUGCUAAGCUGUUUAGACUUUAUCAGCUAUCUGUUUAGUUUUGAGCUUUUCUUUAAUGCACUUUUCAGUUAACAAGUCAACAUCAAUUUCUUUUGCUGUAAAAAAGCUUGAGGAAGGUGGCUUGAGAUUCGUCUUAAGUGUUUAUAGCCUCUUGCCUAUGCAGUCGGAGAGAUUGAGGUCUGCAGCGUAGAUCCUUCGGGGCUAAAUGCAUUUGUGCUAAGUUAUAGCAUUUUAUAGACAACUUGUUGACUAUGAUUUGUCUUGUAGCUUACUCGCUUAUGUUAUUUUACCUACGCUUAGGAUGUUGACUGAUAUGUAGUCGU
Molecule: ribosomal RNA, 773 nt
Filed under: uncultured Neocallimastigales
Lineage: Eukaryota; Fungi; Neocallimastigomycota; Neocallimastigomycetes; Neocallimastigales
Description: partial large subunit ribosomal RNA
Rfam family: Eukaryotic large subunit ribosomal RNA
Source: RNAcentral